This 799-nucleotide ribosomal RNA is filed under the name Eleutherodactylus symingtoni (Symington's robber frog). RNAcentral's name for it is "partial 16S ribosomal RNA". It matches the Rfam family "Bacterial large subunit ribosomal RNA", at positions 1461 to 2528 of the family's 2925-position model. The record is from RNAcentral. Lineage: Eukaryota; Metazoa; Chordata; Amphibia; Anura; Eleutherodactylidae.
GGUCAAAGCUUAAUUGCAAUUUUCCCUAAAUCCCCCAAUCAAGUUAAAACCCUACCACAAUACUGAGUAAUCCUAUAUUUAUAUAGAAAUUCUAAUGUUAAAACUAGUAACAAGAAAUAAACUUCUCUUAAAUGUAAACACAAACCAGAACGGACCAACCACUGGCCCCUAACAACCUUAAUACUAAAGUAGUACCACCUCAAGAAAACCCUACUCAAACGAUUGUUAACCUAACACAAGAACAUUUUAAGAAAGACUAAAAGAAAAAGAAGGAACUCGGCAAAAAUUGACUCCGCCUGUUUACCAAAAACAUCGCCUCCUGUGUAUCUAUAAGAGGUCCAGCCUGCCCAGUGACCCAAUUUAACGGCCGCGGUAUCCUAACCGUGCGAAGGUAGCGUAAUCACCUGUUUUCUAAUUAAAGACCUGUAUGAAAGGCACCACGAGAGUCACACUGUUUCCUUUUUCCAGUCAGUGAAACUAAUCUCCCCGUGAAAAAGCGGGAAUUCACAUGCAAGACGAGAAGACCCUUUGGAGCUUAAGACAUAAUAAUACCUGCUACCUUCUUUUUCCCCCCCCCACCUAACAGCACCUUACUUAUGAGUCUUCGGUUGGGGCAACCAUGGAGUAAAAAUGAACCUCCAAGAUGAACGGAACCCUCCUAAACAAAAAGCCACAACUUUAUGUAUCAACAAACUGACAUCAUUAGACCCAAUAUCUUGAUUAACGAACCAAGUUACCCAAGGGAUAACAGCGCAAUCCACUUCAAGAGUCCAUAUCGACAAGUGGGCUUACGACCUCG